Molecule: ribosomal RNA, 150 nt
Filed under: bacterium SM15.900-O.84
Lineage: Bacteria
Description: partial 16S ribosomal RNA
Rfam family: Bacterial small subunit ribosomal RNA
Source: RNAcentral
UGGGGAAUAUUGGACAAUGGGCGAAAGCCUGAUCCAGCCAUGCCGCGUGUGUGAAGAAGGUCUUCGGAUUGUAAAGCACUUUAAGUUGGGAGGAAGGGCAUUAACCUAAUACGUUAGGUUUGACGUACCGACAUAAUGAGCGGAAAGACC